CCUACGGGAGGCAGCAGUGGGGAAUAUUGGGCAAUGGGCGCAAGCCUGACCCAGCAACGCCGCGUGAAGGAAGAAGGCUUUCGGGUUGUAAACUUCUUUUGUCAAGGGACAAAAUCAGGCUCGAGAGCCUGACCGAAGGUACUUGAAGAAAAAGCAUCGGCUAACUCCGUGCCAGCAGCCGCGGUAAUACGGAGGAUGCGAGCGUUAUCCGGGUUUAUGGGGUUUAAAGGGUGCUGAGGCGGGCUGUUAAGUCAGCGGUAAAAGCCCGGGGCUCAACCCCGGCGAGCCGUUGAAACUGGCUGUCUUGAGAUGUCGAGAGGUAUGCGGAAUGCGCAGUGUAGCGGUGAAAUGCUUAGAGAUUGCGCAGAACUCCGAUUGCGAAGGCAGCAUACCGGCGGCGAUCUGACGCUGAGGCACGAAAGCGUGGGUAUCGAACAGGAUUAGAUACCCCAGUAGUC
This 458-nucleotide ribosomal RNA is filed under the name uncultured bacterium. RNAcentral describes it as "partial 16S ribosomal RNA". It matches the Rfam family "Bacterial small subunit ribosomal RNA", at positions 338 to 795 of the family's 1533-position model. The record is from RNAcentral.